Molecule: ribosomal RNA, 239 nt
Filed under: uncultured bacterium
Lineage: Bacteria
Description: partial 16S ribosomal RNA
Rfam family: Bacterial small subunit ribosomal RNA
Source: RNAcentral
UACGGAGGGUGCGAGCGUUAAUCGGAAUUACUGGGCGUAAAGCGCGCGUAGGUGGUUUGAUAAGCUAGCUGUGAAAGCCCCGGGCUCAACCUGGGAACUGCAGUUAGAACUGUCUGACUAGAGUACAGUAGAGGGUGGCGGAAUUUCCUGUGUAGCGGUGAAAUGCGUAGAUAUAGGAAGGAACAUCAGUGGCGAAGGCGGCCACCUGGACUGAUACUGACACUGAGGUGCGAAAGCGU